This 447-nucleotide ribosomal RNA is filed under the name Ectopseudomonas oleovorans. RNAcentral's name for it is "bacterial SSU rRNA". It matches the Rfam family "Bacterial small subunit ribosomal RNA", at positions 81 to 524 of the family's 1533-position model. Lineage: Bacteria; Pseudomonadati; Pseudomonadota; Gammaproteobacteria; Pseudomonadales; Pseudomonadaceae. The record is from RNAcentral.
GUGCUCUGGAUUCAGCGGCGGACGGGUGAGUAAUGCCUAGGAAUCUGCCUGGUAGUGGGGGAUAACGUUCCGAAAGGAACGCUAAUACCGCGUACGUCCUACGGGAGAAAGCAGGGGACCUUCGGGCCUUGCGCUAUCAGAUGAGCCUAGGUCGGAUUAGCUAGUUGGUGAGGUAAUGGCUCACCAAGGCGACGAUCCGUAACUGGUCUGAGAGGAUGAUCAGUCACACUGGAACUGAGACACGGUCCAGACUCCUACGGGAGGCAGCAGUGGGGAAUAUUGGACAAUGGGCGAAAGCCUGAUCCAGCCAUGCCGCGUGUGUGAAGAAGGUCUUCGGAUUGUAAAGCACUUUAAGUUGGGAGGAAGGGCUGUAGGCUAAUAUCCUGCGGUUUUGACGUUACCAACAGAAUAAGCACCGGCUAACUUCGUGCCAGCAGCCGCGGUAAU